RNAcentral lists this unclassified non-coding RNA (355 nucleotides) under fungal sp. Its description in RNAcentral is "partial internal transcribed spacer region". The stretch from base 1 to 46 matches the Rfam family "Eukaryotic small subunit ribosomal RNA", at positions 1786 to 1831 of the family's 1831-position model. The record is from RNAcentral. Lineage: Eukaryota; Fungi.
AAGUCGUAACAAGGUUUCCGUAGGUGAACCUGCGGAAGGAUCAUUAACACGUAUCAACGUUAAACAACCCUGUGAACCUUGAACGUGCUCCUGCAGCCCCAUGAAAUCAGCAAUCCCUGGUAAAUCAUUGUUGACCAGCUUUUGAGUCACUCUGCCGAAACGGCUGUUCAGUACCGAGCGCGGUGUAAGCGACCUGGCAUCCUUGUGUAAGGAUGGCGUAAACGAUUGCUAGAGGCCCACACGGCCGGCAACCGGGUCCCAGGCCUUUAUCACCCCACAGUUUCCGACUGGGCAGCCGAUAAUACGGACGCCGUAAAAAACUGAACAACUGUUAACAAUGGAUAUCUUGGUUCUC